AAAGAAAUCCAUUUGUCGGACGCUAAGGCUUGGCGAGGAGCUUGGCCUGAUAGAGGUCGUGC
This 62-nucleotide small RNA is filed under the name Sinorhizobium meliloti 2011. Its description in RNAcentral is "putative ncRNA". The record is from RNAcentral. Lineage: Bacteria; Pseudomonadati; Pseudomonadota; Alphaproteobacteria; Hyphomicrobiales; Rhizobiaceae.